Molecule: ribosomal RNA, 119 nt
Filed under: Acanthosepion pharaonis
Lineage: Eukaryota; Metazoa; Mollusca; Cephalopoda; Sepiida; Sepiidae
Source: RNAcentral
UUACGGUCAAAUCACGCUUGAAAACACCGGUUCUCGUUCGAUCACCGAAGUUAAGCAUCGUAGAGCCAGGUCAGUACUUAGAUGGGGGACCGCUUGGGGGGAACACCUGGUACUGUAAG